GCUGGCGGCGUGCCUAACACAUGCAAGUCGGACGAGUAAAGCGGGCUUCGGCCCGUGAGUAAAGUGGCAGACGGGUGAGUAACACGUGGGUAACCUACCCGGAGGUGGGGAAUAACUCUCCGAAAGGAGGGCUAAUACCGCAUAACAUCUCGGGCGCUUCGGAGCUCGAGAUCAAAGCUAGCCUCUGCUUGCACGCUAGCGCCACCGGAGGGGCCCGCGUCCCAUUAGCUUGUUGGUGAGGUAAAGGCUCACCAAGGCCGCGAUGGGUAGCCGGCCUGAGAGGGUGUUCGGCCACACUGGAACUGAGACACGGUCCAGACUCCUACGGGAGGCAGCAGUGAGGAAUUUUGCGCAAUGGGCGAAAGCCUGACGCAGCGACGCCGCGUGGAGGACGAAGGUCUUCGGAUCGUAAACUCCUGUCGUGCGGGACGAACCCUGAGGGGAUGAAUAAGCCCUUCAGCUGACGGUACCGCUGGAGGAAGCCCCGGCUAACUCCGUGCCAGCAACCGCGGUAAUACGGAGGGGGCCAGCGUUGUUCGGAAUUAUUGGGCGUAAAGGGCGCGUAGGCGGCUGA
This 574-nucleotide ribosomal RNA is filed under the name uncultured bacterium. RNAcentral describes it as "bacterial SSU rRNA". It matches the Rfam family "Bacterial small subunit ribosomal RNA", at positions 35 to 582 of the family's 1533-position model. The record is from RNAcentral.